Molecule: ribosomal RNA, 877 nt
Filed under: uncultured Actinomycetes bacterium
Lineage: Bacteria; Bacillati; Actinomycetota; Actinomycetes
Description: bacterial SSU rRNA
Rfam family: Bacterial small subunit ribosomal RNA
Source: RNAcentral
UUGAUUAUGGCUCAGGACGAACGCUGGCGGCGUGCUUAACACAUGCAAGUCGAGCGAUGAAACUACUUCGGUAGUGAAUUAGCGGCGAACGGGUGAGGAACACGUGAGGAAUCUGCCUUCUACACUGGGAUAACUCCGGGAAACCGGGGCUAAUACCGGAUAUGAAACUUGGUGGCAUCACCGAGUUUGGAAAGUUUUUCGGUAGAAGAUGACCUCGCGGCCUAUCAGCUUGUUGGUGAGGUAAUGGCUCACCAAGGCGACGACGGGUAGCCGGCCUGAGAGGGCGACCGGCCACACUGGGACUGAGACACGGCCCAGACUCCUACGGGAGGCAGCAGUGGGGAAUAUUGGGCAAUGGAGGAAACUCUGACCCAGCGACGCCGCGUGCGGGAUGAAGGCCUUCGGGUUGUAAACCGCUUUCAGUAGGGAAGAAGCGAAAGUGACGGUACCUACAGAAGAAGCACCGGCUAACUAUGUGCCAGCAGCCGCGGUAAUACAUAGGGUGCAAGCGUUGUCCGGAAUUAUUGGGCGUAAAGAGCUCGUAGGUGGUUCGUUACGUCGGAUGUGAAAAUCUGGGGCUCAACCCCAGACCUGCAUCCGAUACGGUCGAGCUAGAGUUUGGUAGGGGAGACUGGAAUUCCUGCUGUAGCGGUGGAAUGCGCAGAUAUCAGGAGGAACACCAAUGGCGAAGGCAGGUCUCUGGGCCAAUACUGACACUGAGGAGCGAAAGCGUGGGGAGCGAACAGGAUUAGAUACCCUGGUAGUCCACGCCGUAAACGGUGGGCGCUAGUUGUGGGAACCUUCCACGGUUUCUGCGACGCAGCUAACGCAUUCAGCGCCCCGCCUGGGGAGUACGAUAGCAAGAUUAAAGUCAAAG